This 246-nucleotide long non-coding RNA is filed under the name Salvator merianae (Argentine black and white tegu). Its description in RNAcentral is "lncRNA (ENSSMRG00000023135.1)". Lineage: Eukaryota; Metazoa; Chordata; Lepidosauria; Squamata; Teiidae. The record is from RNAcentral.
CAUCUCUUCCACAAACUGGGUUCCUUACAGCAAGCACAGAAGAAGAAGAGCUUGAGAGCUACCACUUCCAGCAGACCGUAGAAUGUGGAAAAGCAAAACAGUAUCUUUUGGUACGCGGAGCAGUAUUCCUGGCUUUGUGCAAUAAUGCAAUGGACACAGCUUUUUCAGGAAACUGAAACUUGACGCAAAUAUAAGAUCAUCCCUCCCAACAUGGCUGGCCUGAACACUCAAUUCCAGCAUCCUCCC